UAUCGCCCAGUUUGAAAAACUCGCCAACACUUAGGCAAAAAGUCGAAAAAGGGGUCAAAACUCGCAUCGGUAGUCCGAAUGACACGUAAACACACUAAUAGCAUCGCGUAGGUAAUAGACACGCGUUAGAACUUACGGGACUCGAUUCUGACAUACGGAGACCGAGUUAUCGCGGAGUUUGCAAAACUUGCCAACACUUAAGCAAAAAGUCGAAAAAGAGGUCAAAACCAGCAUCGGCCGUCCAAAUGACACACAAACACACACAUAGCACCGCGUAGGUAAUAGACACGCGUUAGAACUUACGGGACUCGAUUCCGACAUACGAAGACUGAGUUAUCGCCCAGUUUGCAAAACUCGCCAACACUUAGGCAAAAACACGAAAAACAGGUCAAAACCGGCAUCGGUCGUCUGAAUGACACUUAAACACACACAUAACACCGUGUAGGUAAUAGUCAUGUAUUAGAACUUACGGGACUCGAUUCCGACAUACGGAGACUGAGUUAUCGCCCAGUUUGCAAAACUCACCAACAAUUAGGCAAAAAGACGAAAAACAGGUCAAAACCCGCAUCGGCCGUCCGAAUGACACGCAAACACACACAUAGCAUCGCGUAGGUAAUUGACACGCGUAAGAACUUACGGGACUCGAUUCCGACAUACGGAGACUGAGUUAUCGCCCAGUUUGCAAAACUCACCAACAAUUAGGCAAAAAGACGAAAAACAGGUCAAAACCCGCAUCGGCCGUCCGAAUGACACGCAAACACACACAUAGCAUCGCGUAGGUAAUUGACACGCGUAAGAACUUACGGGACUCGAUUCCGACAUACGGAGACUGAGUUAUCGCCCAGUUUGCAAAACUCACCAACAAUUAGGCAAAAAGACGAAAAACAGGUCAAAACCCGCAUCGGCCGUCCGAAUGACACGCAAACACACACAUAGCAUCGCGUAGGUAAUUGACACGCGUAAGAACUUACGGGACUCGAUUCCGACAUACGGAGACUGAGUUAUCGCCCAGUUUGCAAAACUCACCAACAAUUAGGCAAAAAGACGAAAAACAGGUCAAAACCCGCAUCGGCCGUCCGAAUGACACGCAAACACACACAUAGCAUCGCGUAGGUAAUUGACACGCGUAAGAACUUACGGGACUCGAUUCCGACAUACGGAGACUGAGUUAUCGCCCAGUUUGCAAAACUCACCAACAAUUAGGCAAAAAGACGAAAAACAGGUCAAAACCCGCAUCGGCCGUCCGAAUGACACGCAAACACACACAUAGCAUCGCGUAGGUAAUUGACACGCGUAAGAACUUACGGGACUCGAUUCCGACAUACGGAGACUGAGUUAUCGCCCAGUUUGCAAAACUCACCAACAAUUAGGCAAAAAGACGAAAAACAGGUCAAAACCCGCAUCGGCCGUCCGAAUGACACGCAAACACACACAUAGCAUCGCGUAGGUAAUUGACACGCGUAAGAACUUACGGGACUCGAUUCCGACAUACGGAGACUGAGUUAUCGCCCAGUUUGCAAAACUCACCAACAAUUAGGCAAAAAGACGAAAAACAGGUCAAAACCCGCAUCGGCCGUCCGAAUGACACGCAAACACACACAUAGCAUCGCGUAGGUAAUUGACACGCGUAAGAACUUACGGGACUCGAUUCCGACAUACGGAGACUGAGUUAUCGCCCAGUUUGCAAAACUCACCAACAAUUAGGCAAAAAGACGAAAAACAGGUCAAAACCCGCAUCGGCCGUCCGAAUGACACGCAAACACACACAUAGCAUCGCGUAGGUAAUUGACACGCGUAAGAACUUACGGGACUCGAUUCCGACAUACGGAGACUGAGUUAUCGCCCAGUUUGCAAAACUCACCAACAAUUAGGCAAAAAGACGAAAAACAGGUCAAAACCCGCAUCGGCCGUCCGAAUGACACGCAAACACACACAUAGCAUCGCGUAGGUAAUUGACACGCGUAAGAACUUACGGGACUCGAUUCCGACAUACGGAGACUGAGUUAUCGCCCAGUUUGCAAAACUCACCAACAAUUAGGCAAAAAGACGAAAAACAGGUCAAAACCCGCAUCGGCCGUCCGAAUGACACGCAAACACACACAUAGCAUCGCGUAGGUAAUUGACACGCGUAAGAACUUACGGGACUCGAUUCCGACAUACGGAGACUGAGUUAUCGCCCAGUUUGCAAAACUCACCAACAAUUAGGCAAAAAGACGAAAAACAGGUCAAAACCCGCAUCGGCCGUCCGAAUGACACGCAAACACACACAUAGCAUCGCGUAGGUAAUUGACACGCGUAAGAACUUACGGGACUCGAUUCCGACAUACGGAGACUGAGUUAUCGCCCAGUUUGCAAAACUCACCAACAAUUAGGCAAAAAGACGAAAAACAGGUCAAAACCCGCAUCGGCCGUCCGAAUGACACGCAAACACACACAUAGCAUCGCGUAGGUAAUUGACACGCGUAAGAACUUACGGGACUCGAUUCCGACAUACGGAGACUGAGUUAUCGCCCAGUUUGCAAAACUCACCAACAAUUAGGCAAAAAGACGAAAAACAGGUCAAAACCCGCAUCGGCCGUCCGAAUGACACGCAAACACACACAUAGCAUCGCGUAGGUAAUUGACACGCGUAAGAACUUACGGGACUCGAUUCCGACAUACGGAGACUGAGUUAUCGCCCAGUUUGCAAAACUCACCAACAAUUAGGCAAAAAGACGAAAAACAGGUCAAAACCCGCAUCGGCCGUCCGAAUGACACGCAAACACACACAUAGCAUCGCGUAGGUAAUUGACACGCGUAAGAACUUACGGGACUCGAUUCCGACAUACGGAGACUGAGUUAUCGCCCAGUUUGCAAAACUCACCAACAAUUAGGCAAAAAGACGAAAAACAGGUCAAAACCCGCAUCGGCCGUCCGAAUGACACGCAAACACACACAUAGCAUCGCGUAGGUAAUUGACACGCGUAAGAACUUACGGGACUCGAUUCCGACAUACGGAGACUGAGUUAUCGCCCAGUUUGCAAAACUCACCAACAAUUAGGCAAAAAGACGAAAAACAGGUCAAAACCCGCAUCGGCCGUCCGAAUGACACGCAAACACACACAUAGCAUCGCGUAGGUAAUUGACACGCGUAAGAACUUACGGGACUCGAUUCCGACAUACGGAGACUGAGUUAUCGCCCAGUUUGCAAAACUCACCAACAAUUAGGCAAAAAGACGAAAAACAGGUCAAAACCCGCAUCGGCCGUCCGAAUGACACGCAAACACACACAUAGCAUCGCGUAGGUAAUUGACACGCGUAAGAACUUACGGGACUCGAUUCCGACAUACGGAGACUGAGUUAUCGCCCAGUUUGCAAAACUCACCAACAAUUAGGCAAAAAGACGAAAAACAGGUCAAAACCCGCAUCGGCCGUCCGAAUGACACGCAAACACACACAUAGCAUCGCGUAGGUAAUUGACACGCGUAAGAACUUACGGGACUCGAUUCCGACAUACGGAGACUGAGUUAUCGCCCAGUUUGCAAAACUCACCAACAAUUAGGCAAAAAGACGAAAAACAGGUCAAAACCCGCAUCGGCCGUCCGAAUGACACGCAAACACACACAUAGCAUCGCGUAGGUAAUUGACACGCGUAAGAACUUACGGGACUCGAUUCCGACAUACGGAGACUGAGUUAUCGCCCAGUUUGCAAAACUCACCAACAAUUAGGCAAAAAGACGAAAAACAGGUCAAAACCCGCAUCGGCCGUCCGAAUGACACGCAAACACACACAUAGCAUCGCGUAGGUAAUUGACACGCGUAAGAACUUACGGGACUCGAUUCCGACAUACGGAGACUGAGUUAUCGCCCAGUUUGCAAAACUCACCAACAAUUAGGCAAAAAGACGAAAAACAGGUCAAAACCCGCAUCGGCCGUCCGAAUGACACGCAAACACACACAUAGCAUCGCGUAGGUAAUUGACACGCGUAAGAACUUACGGGACUCGAUUCCGACAUACGGAGACUGAGUUAUCGCCCAGUUUGCAAAACUCACCAACAAUUAGGCAAAAAGACGAAAAACAGGUCAAAACCCGCAUCGGCCGUCCGAAUGACACGCAAACACACACAUAGCAUCGCGUAGGUAAUUGACACGCGUAAGAACUUACGGGACUCGAUUCCGACAUACGGAGACUGAGUUAUCGCCCAGUUUGCAAAACUCACCAACAAUUAGGCAAAAAGACGAAAAACAGGUCAAAAACCCGCAUCGGCCGUCCGAAUGACACGCAAACACACACAUAGCAUCGCGUAGGUAAUUGACACGCGUAAGAACUUACGGGACUCGAUUCCGACAUACGGAGACUGAGUUAUCGCCCAGUUUGCAAAACUCACCAACAAUUAGGCAAAAAGACGAAAAACAGGUCAAAACCCGCAUCGGCCGUCCGAAUGACACGCAAACACACACAUAGCAUCGCGUAGGUAAUUGACACGCGUAAGAACUUACGGGACUCGAUUCCGACAUACGGAGACUGAGUUAUCGCCCAGUUUGCAAAACUCGCCAACACUUGGGCAAAAAGCCGAAAAAGAGGUCAAAACCCGCAUCUGCCGUCCGAAUGACACGAAUACACAGAUAUAGCACCGUGCAGGUAAUAGACACACGUUAGAACUUAUGGGACUCGAUUCUGACAUACGGAGACCGAGUUAUCGCGGAGUUUGACAAACUCGCCAACACUUGGGCAAAAAGCCGAAAAAGAGGUCAAAACCAGCAUCUGCCGUCCGAAUGACACGAAUACAGACAUAUAGCACCGUGCAGGUAAUAGACACGCGUUAGAACUUACGGGACUCGAUUCUGACAUACAGAGACCGAGUUAUCGCCUAGUUUGCAAAACUCGCCAACAAUUAGGCAAAAAGACGAAAAACAGGUCAAAACCCGCAUCGGCCGUUCGAAUGACACGCAAACACACACAUAACACCGCGUAGGUAAUAGACAUGCAUUAGAACUUACGGGACUCGAUUCCGACAUACGGAGACUGAGUUAUCGCCCAGUUUGCAAAACUCGCCAACACUUAGGCUAAAAGUCGAAAAAGGGGUCAAAACUCGCAUCGGUGGUCCGAAUGACACGCAAACACACUAAUAGCACCGCGUAGGUAAUAGACACGCGUUAGAACUUACGGGACUCGAUUCCGACAUACGGAGACCGAGUUAUCGCCCAGUUUGCAAAACUCGCCAACACUUACGCAAAAAGCCAAAAAAGAGGUCAAAACUCGCAUCGGUAGUCCGAAUGACACGCAAACACACACAUAGCACCGCGUAGAUAAUUGAAACGCAUUAGAACUUAUGGGACUCGAUUCCGACAUAUGGAGACCGAGUUAUCGCCCAGUUUGCAAAACUCGCCAAGACUUAGGCAAAGAGCGGAAAAAGAGGUCAAAAACCCUUAUCGGCCGUUCGAAUGACACGCAAACACACACAUAACACCGUGCAGGUAAUAGACACGCGUUAGAACUUACAGGACUCAAUUCUGACAUACGGAGACCGAGUAAUUGCCCAGUUUGCAAAACUCGCCAACACUUAGGCAAAAAGCCGAAAAAGAGGUCAAAACUCGCAUCGGUCGUCUGAUGACACGCAAACACACACAUAACACCGCGUAGGUAAUAGUCACGCAUUAGAACUUACGGGACUCGAUUCCGACAUACGGAGACUGAUUUAUCGCCCAGUUUGCAAAAGUUGCCAACACUUAGGCAAAAGGACGAAAAAUAGGUCAAAACCCGCAUCGGCCGUCCAAAUAACACGCAAACACACACAUAGCACCGCGUAGGUAAUUGACACGCGUAAGAACUUACGGGACUCGAUUCCGACAUACGGAGACUGAGUUAUAGCCCAGUUUGUAAAACUCGCCAACAAUUAGGCAAAAAGCCAAAAAAGACGUCAAAACCCGCAUCGGCCGUCCGAAUGACACGCAAACACACACAUAGAACCGCGUAGAUAAUUGACACGCAUUAGAACUUACGGUACUCGAUUUCUACAUAUGGAGACCGAUUUAUCGCACAGUUUGCAAAACUCGCCAACACUUAAGCAAAAAGACGAAAAAGAGGUCAAAAACCCGCAUCGGCCGUCUGAAUGACACGCAAACACACACAUAGAACCGCGUAGAUAAUUGACACGCAUUAGAACUUAUGGUACUCGAUUUUGACAUAUGGAGACCGAGUUAUCGCCUAGUUUGUAAAACUCGCCAACACUUAAGCAAAAAGUCGAAAAAGGGGUAAAAACUCGCAUCAGUAGUCCGAAUGACACGCAAACACACUAAUAGCACCGCGUAGGUAAUAGACACGCGUUAGAACUUAUGGGACUCGAUUCCGACAUACGGAGACCGAGUUAUCGCGGAGUUUGCAAAACUCGCCAACACUUAGGCAAAAAGCCGAAAAAGAGGUCAAAACCCGCAUCUGCCGUCCGAAUGACACGAAUACACAGAUAUAGCACCGUGCAGGUAAUAGACACGCGUUAGAACCUACGGGACUCGAUUCUGACAUACGGAGACCGAGUUAUUGCACAGUUUGCAAAACUCGCCAACACUUAGGCAAAAAGCCGAAAAAGAGGUCAAAACUCGCAUCGGC
This 6586-nucleotide long non-coding RNA is filed under the name Panax ginseng (ginseng). Its description in RNAcentral is "long non-coding RNA (PGIN_LNC017425)". The record is from RNAcentral. Lineage: Eukaryota; Viridiplantae; Streptophyta; Magnoliopsida; Apiales; Araliaceae.